CUCCCCGGGAACCUGGUGCCCUCCUCCCCGGGAACCUGGUGCCCUCCUCCCCGGGAACCUGGUGCCCUCCUCCCCGGGAACCUGGUGCCCUCCUCCCCGGGAACCUGGUGCCCUCCUCCCCCUUACUCCAAUCCCAAUGCAUGGAUAGAGGCUUAACGGUGUUUGUGGCAGUUCAUGUCCCGGAUGUGUUACUAAAUGGGUGGCGCUGGAGGCUUGGGGCGAUACCACCACUCGUUUGUCUGUUGGCGAUUAGUGUUGUCCCCCCGAGUGGCCAGCGUGGCCCCGUACCAUUCAGGACACGAGUUGCAACGGGCGCGCACUGAAGCUAGCGUGCCCUCCCGAGGAGUGUCAGUAAAAUAAAAUACAAAAACACAAUCACGGUUGCACCAAGCACAACAUCAAACACAUACAAUGCUGAAGAGCAGGCGUAUCGAGGGCAUACCCGUGGCUCAUAACACAGUCACAAUUCAGAAGGCCGGCACGCGGUGUCAACCAGGCCACCAUUCCUCUCCGCAUUAAAGCACUCGGUGGGGGAGGGUGCCCUGGUUGACACAAUGUGCCGCGCAUCAACCAGCGCGACGGAAGUUGGCCUCCAGCAAAGCACAUUUUGCACGCAAAUGGUGUCCGCUCUCCCAAACCACACGAAUGGCACCAUGGCAAAAAACACUCCCCCACAAUGUAUUGACCUUGUUAAUGAAAGUGUGGCACUGACUUCGGCAGACGCCGAGUGGUGGAUAUAGAACCACCUUUCAUGGCAGUACAUUGCAGCAUGUGCCACAUGUUCAAAAGCAAUAAACAGAUUAAAAGAA
RNAcentral lists this unclassified non-coding RNA (809 nucleotides) under Human gammaherpesvirus 8. RNAcentral's name for it is "T0.7". The stretch from base 206 to 275 matches the Rfam family "mir-K12-10 microRNA precursor family". Lineage: Duplodnaviria; Heunggongvirae; Peploviricota; Herviviricetes; Herpesvirales; Orthoherpesviridae. The record is from RNAcentral.